GGGAGAGUGGAGGUCCCUGACCUGGAAUGGGCCUUGAAGGAAAGAGGAGGAGAGGGAAGGAAGGAUCCUUCAGGUGGGGGAAAUGUGCAGAGCCAAGGAGUUUGGGCUUAUGGGGUGAGAAAUGGGGAGCCACAGAAGGUGCUUGAGCAGACCACCACCCUGGUGUGCGAUGCAGUUUAGGAAGGCUCGUCUGGAAGCAGAGGGAAGGCAGACAGGAGGGAAAGAGACUGGGUCUGGGGUUCCAGUGCCAAGACUAGGUAGGCACCUGGGACAGGAUCGAGCCUCUAAACUGCAGGAGGAACCAGGAACCAGACAGCACACGCUGAUGCAUCAGAUGCGUGCCCCACUUAACCACCACUGAAUGAAGAUACGGAACAUUUGCAUCAUCUCAGAAAGUUCCCUCAUGCUCCUCUGCAGUCCAACUCCCAGACCAGCACUGAUCUAAUUUCUGUAGAUUAGUAUUGCCACUUUUGGAAUUUCAUAUGAAUAGAAGCAUUCGGAUCUGAUGCCACAGAAAUGGGUGACUGAGACAUCCCCCACAUACAACUCUGCCUGAGAGCGGCUGACACCUGCACAGGGACGAUAACAAGUCAGAACCUUCAGCAGCGUGGGGACCAGAACUCCCGCCCUACCAGCCAAGAGCACCCAGAUGGCUGAGAUGGUUCUUGCUUAUUCACAUCUCCAAGGAUAAAGAAAGCCUACCUGAGCCUCCCUGUGGCCUGUCCCAGCCUUUACUGGAAGGGAGUCCAUCUGGUGGUUUAACCUCAAUCCCUUCUUAAUCUAGUCUUCCGUCACUGACUUCAGGAAGACCUCCCUGGGGACAACCAAGCUGAUGAAACACCUGUUUUAGUCCAGAGAGGUAUUUGACAUCUUGAACGUGGACACAUGUGCUUGGACAAGGAGAAAAUGAGAACCUCCCAACAAUGGGAAAGUAAGACUUCCACUCCGAUGGGUAUGGCAUGAGGAGUUAUCCCCCUCGUGACCCAAGGUCAGUGUUAGGACUGGGCACUAGCUCCCGACAGUGGUCCCAGAAGUAACGUGGUCACCAGCUCUGAACCCAGUCACCAAAGGAAUCACUCAAGUUUUCCCAGGUCAGAAAAGAAGAUCUGGGGUGCAGACCCCCCAGAGGCUCAGCAUCUCCCCAACCCGGUUCCAAAAGAACAUAAGGGUCAGGCUCUCCCAGACUCCUGUGGGAAGAGGAGUCCCGCCAAAUGCAGCAGGACACAGAGAUCCCUCCACCUGCCCAGGAGUCCAGCUCCGGGCUGCCUCCCCAACCCACACUGACGGGCUACAUGAUCACGAACAAUCCAGUCUCCCCGAAUCUUUCUAUUUGCCCUUUCAGUGUGAGGCCUCUUUUUACCCUGCCUUCUAACCAACAGUGUUCUGGAACCAGUUCACAGAGCCUGUUUGACAUAUUUCUAGCCAACCCUAAAUGCAGUCACAGCCGGCCAUGCCGGAAGAUUUUACACCACCGAAACUGGCAAACCCUGUAAAUGGGACUUUUGUUUCCUUCCGAGAGCUGGUUGUUAAACAUUUACCCGCAAGCAAUUGCCCCUAACUAAAUUAUACAAGAGGCGUAUUGGAAAUCAGGCAGUAGACCUCAGCUAAAAGUAUUCUCCUUGGCCUCCCCUCAGUGCAAGGAGGGUCCCUCCAGCUUGGUGUUCUGGGGGCCAGGAGAGAACAAAGUGGGUUAUGGUCCUGGGUGUCUCGGUCCAUUUCCUGGAUGUACCAGUCUCUCCCCUCCCCCAGCUGGGAACACCCCAAGAACAGGCCUCUCCCUUUCAUUAACAGAGUCCCCCCGGAGGGACCACAACCAGGGACAUUUGUCAUGCAAACGAGCUGGAUCCUGAAUGGUGAGAUCCAUUUGGGGCACUCACUGCCUCAAAUGUGAUGGGGGGCGGGAAGUGGGGGGUGAAUGACCCACACCUGAAACUUGGCAUUUCAACCUCAUUAAUCUGCCUCUGGAUCACGCGGUCUGCGCAGUAAUCUCCUCCAUGGCAGGGUCUCCCCACGCCACAUCACCAUGACUUUCAUCUCCCCAUAUUAAAAAGAAGCAGAGAUUCUCCUGAGGCUCAGGACGGGGUGUCCCAGCAAUUCAGACACCACAGAUGGUUGGAGGUUGUACAGGGCUCAGCCUGCGCAACCAUACAUGUUAGUCCUGCCCAGCCACUAAAACCUCAGAGCUGUGUGCCCUUCUGUUACCAUCUCUAGGGAUCAGAAUCCCCAGACAAAAGAGGCUUUGUUAAUAUAUGCCUGGCAUCCUUCCCACUGCCGUGUCUAGGAGGCAGGUGUCCUAUGCCCCUCACCUUGCUGCAGCACCAGGACUCAGCCCCAGCCCGGCUGUAUCUAGCAAUGUCAUCAGAGUUAGCCUAGAUGUCAGUCACAGUGCAGCCCAUGUUCAGGUCCCGGCUGUUAUCCAGUUUGGUGAUGACUGAGGUAUCUGAGAUGCGGGCUUUGGUGACUCUCAUUUCCUGUGGGGCCGACAGCCAUUCAUAUCACCUGUACCAUCGAGAGCCAGGUAGAACAGAGCUCACAUUCCCCCUUCACACACACACACACACACACACACACACAGAGCCACCAUUUCAAAGCCUUCAUGCCUGCAGACCCCUCUGUCCGCUUCCUCUGUUCAAAGUCUGGCCUGGGACAGAGUGAAGACGGAUGACUAAUGUCCUCCCUGCCAGUGCUCACCUCCCCCCCUACGGUGUUCUGGAAGCCGAUCUCCCCCACCAGGCCGUCAGCAUCGGCCUCCUGGUCUCCCUUGCGCACGUAGGCACAAUUAAGCUCCUGGAAACAACGCACAGGCAGUUGUUAGUUGUUGCAGAGAUUUUCCAGGGGACUCUACCUCCCCCAGGCCAACCCUGGGAAAUUUCCAAUCCCAUUUCCAGCCCUACAGAGCCGGUCAUGGGCAUAGAUCCAGAAGUCAAGGGUUGGGGAACUAAGCUCUCCCUCUCACUCUAGCAAAACGUAGUAUAUGACUUUGGGGAAUUCUUUUAUCUCGCUGGGCCGCUCUGUAAAGGAAGAUCCAGAGAAUCUCUGCCCUGUGGGUCUCCCAGGGUAUAAGGAAGAAAAUGCCUUUCCAUGGGUAGAAAUAAAAUAUGAGCUUAUUAACUGA
Long non-coding RNA from Felis catus (domestic cat), 3115 nucleotides. RefSeq lists it as uncharacterized. Lineage: Eukaryota; Metazoa; Chordata; Mammalia; Carnivora; Felidae. The record is from RefSeq and is a predicted model, not a curated record. The transcript has 3 exons.